AAAUUGAAGAGUUUGAUCAUGGCUCAGAUUGAACGCUGGCGGCAGGCCUAACACAUGCAAGUCGAACGGUAACAGGAAGCAGCUUGCUGCUUUGCUGACGAGUGGCGGACGGGUGAGUAAUGUCUGGGAAACUGCCUGAUGGAGGGGGGAUAACUACUGGAAACGGUGGCUAAUACCGCAUAACGUCGCAAGACCAAAGAGGGGGACCUUCGGGCCUCUUGCCAUCAGAUGUGCCCAGAUGGGAUUAGCUUGUUGGUGAGGUAACGGCUCACCAAGGCGACGAUCCCUAGCUGGUCUGAGAGGAUGACCAGCCACACUGGAACUGAGACACGGUCCAGACUCCUACGGGAGGCAGCAGUGGGGAAUAUUGCACAAUGGGCGCAAGCCUGAUGCAGCCAUGCCGCGUGUAUGAAGAAGGCCUUCGGGUUGUAAAGUACUUUCAGCGGGGAGGAAGGUGUUG
This 460-nucleotide ribosomal RNA is filed under the name Salmonella enterica. RNAcentral's name for it is "bacterial SSU rRNA". It matches the Rfam family "Bacterial small subunit ribosomal RNA", at positions 1 to 456 of the family's 1533-position model. Lineage: Bacteria; Pseudomonadati; Pseudomonadota; Gammaproteobacteria; Enterobacterales; Enterobacteriaceae. The record is from RNAcentral. RNAcentral also lists the same sequence under 1 other name.